GCCGGGGUGGCGGAAUGGUAGACGCGGCGGUCUCAAAAACCGCUGAGGUUAAACUCGUGAGGGUUCGAGUCCCUCCCCCGGCACCA
RNAcentral lists this transfer RNA (86 nucleotides) under Armatimonadota bacterium. Its description in RNAcentral is "Armatimonadetes bacterium (activated sludge metagenome) tRNA-Leu". It matches the Rfam family "tRNA". From Rfam's summary of the family: Transfer RNA (tRNA) molecules are approximately 80 nucleotides in length. The record is from RNAcentral. Lineage: Bacteria; Bacillati; Armatimonadota.